This is a non-coding RNA of Phyllostomus discolor (pale spear-nosed bat), 454 nucleotides long. NCBI's taxonomy places the organism in Eukaryota, Metazoa, Chordata, Mammalia, Chiroptera, Phyllostomidae. The record is from the annotation of a RefSeq genome assembly.
GCAAGAGACAGGACCACCAGUCUUCCCAGGAGAAAUGGGCAGGCUCCUGGGGGUUUUGCUGUUGCUUUUCUGUCUUCAGCCACACUGGGUGAAUAGUCAACAGCAGAAUAAUGAGCAGCAACAGGUGAAGCAGAAUUCUCCAUCCCUGAGUGUGCAGGAAGGAGGAACUUCUAUUCUGAACUGUGACUACAAUAGUAAUUUGUUUACUUACUUCGCAUGGUACAAAAAAUACCAUGCUAAAGGUCCUGCAUUCCUGAUAUCAGUAAGUUCAGUUGCAGAUAAGAAGGAAGAUGGAAGAUUCACAGCCUUCCACAACGUGAGUGCCAAACACCUCUCUCUGCACAUUGAGCACUCGCAUCCUGGAGACGCAGCCUUGUACCUCUGUGCAGCCAGUGCACAGUGCUCUGCAGGCACCUGCAGCCUGUACUCAAACCUGCAGCUGGGGCCACGCUAA